UGGAAUCUUUGUCUUAUUGAGACACACAAUCAACAAGAGGGAGAAGAAUGUUGCGUCUCAUAGAAAGAGCUUCGUGGGAAGAAAACAAAGAGUGUGCUUUUGUUCAAAGCUAAGAGAAAAGGGAUUUUUGUUCAUGAUGCAGCUACAGAUGGUUCUUGUCAUGAGAAAGAAAGAUGAAUCAAAGAAUGCUGAAGGAGAAGAUUGAUGCAUUCUUAAUUAGAUCAAGUAAAAGUUUGGAGAAACACAGUGAACAACAACGUAUUUCAAUCUUAGAAUGAAGGAAGCUUGUGGAAGAAAAAAUUAUAUAGAUUGACAUCAUUGUUAGUUCCGGUUGAGAAAGUUUUGUUUGUAGAAGC
This 356-nucleotide long non-coding RNA is filed under the name Capsella rubella. RNAcentral describes it as "long non-coding RNA (CRUB_LNC000649)". The record is from RNAcentral. Lineage: Eukaryota; Viridiplantae; Streptophyta; Magnoliopsida; Brassicales; Brassicaceae.